RNAcentral lists this long non-coding RNA (2227 nucleotides) under Daucus carota (carrot). RNAcentral's name for it is "long non-coding RNA (DCAR_LNC001255)". Lineage: Eukaryota; Viridiplantae; Streptophyta; Magnoliopsida; Apiales; Apiaceae. The record is from RNAcentral.
UCCAUCAGCGUUAUCUGGUCAUUGGUCAAGUAAUAGGCUUUUGGGGGUAGUGUCUCGAUCCUAACCACCUCAAAUGAUCCAUAGUGGGGUACGUCUAUAGUAACAUGUGUCUUCAUAUGGUGCAAUAUCACAAACCCAUCACCUUAUCCUAACCGUCCACCUCAUCGUAUAUCUUUUUUUUAUUUAAAAAAUUUUGAGAGCAUUACAGGAGGGCGAUUUGGCGCGGACUAGGAUAAUUUCAGGUGAGUUGGCGAGUUCCACUGCCGAUCCCGUUCAUUUUUUGUCGUACUAUCUGAUCAACAAGCACAAUCUUGAUAAGUAUUAGAUUUUAACACAUUUAACAGCAAAUUAAAGGAAACAAUCAAGUAAACUGAUCAGAAUAUUAAUAAAACCACACUAUCUGGCAGGUUUAGAAACUUAAUCAAUAUACUUAUUACAUUACAUGAAUAAAAUUGAAGUAUUAGAUUUAUUUAAUCGUUCAAGAGAAGGCCUAGGUUUCUUACAGUUUCGCUUUAUCAAUUCCUUCCUACGGUCCUGGGAUUUGACUAAAUUAAGCUAAAAUCUAGUUGUGAUGUCCAACAAAACAAAAAUUAACAUCACUUUAGUAAACAAAAUCUACAAUCCUCUGAAGGGAAAAUUUACUUGUUAGAUCAAAUAGUACGGACAAAAACUGAUAAGAAACAGCAAUGAAACUCGCCAACUCACCUGAAAGAACCCAGUCCGCCGCAAAUCGUUGUCCACUAGUGCUCUCAAAAUUUCUUAAAUAAAAAAGAGACCUGAGUUGACAUAGGAUUGAUAUAUGGUGAGUUGGACGGUCAGGAUAUGGUGAUGAGUUGGUGAGAUUGCAUCAUAUGAUGACAAAUGUCAGUAUAAAUGUACCCCACUACAGAUCAAUUGAGUUGGGCUGGAUCGAGAUCACUACCCCAAGGCUUAUUACAUGACCAAUGAUCGGAUAAUGGCGAGGGACUAAUAUUCUUUUUCAAAAAUACUAUGAUUUAUAUAUUAACUUAAUCACAAAUUGCUCACAUACAUGAACUCAUUCGAUAAAUAUAAAAGUGAAUCCAGGAUUAAGUUAAUAUAUAUGGAUCAUAGUUUUUUGUGAAAAUAUAUAUUAGUCCAUCAGCGUUAUCUGGUCAUUGGUCAAGUAAUAGGCUUUUGGGGGUAGUGUCUCGAUCCUAACCACCUCAAAUGAUCCAUAGUGGGGUACGUCUAUAGUAACAUGUGUCUUCAUAUGGUGCAAUAUCACAAACCCAUCACCUUAUCCUAACCGUCCACCUCAUCGUAUAUCUUUUUUUUAUUUAAAAAAUUUUGAGAGCAUUACAGGAGGGCGAUUUGGCGCGGACUAGGAUAAUUUCAGGUGAGUUGGCGAGUUCCACUGCCGAUCCCGUUCAUUUUUUGUCGUACUAUCUGAUCAACAAGCAAAUCUUCCCUUUAGAGGAUUGUAGAUUUUGUUUACUAGAGUGAUAUUAAUUUUUGUUUUGCUAGUAAUCACAACUAGAUGUUCAUUUAAUUUAGUCAAAUCCCAGGACAAAUAGGAAGAAAUUGAUAAAGCGAAUUUAUAAGAAGCCUGGCCCUUCUGUUGAAUGAUUUAAAUAGCACUUAAGCAUCAUCCAAGUACAAUAGCUUAUCUUUCCAAAGCCACAUUCAUUAUGUUUAAGCAUUCGUGUGGAACCAGUCUCAUUUACAAAUUGAAAGCACCUUAAUGUGCCGCAGGGCUCGCCAAAUGUUUAACAUUGGGUCUGCUAGCGCUAGGUGAUCAAUACUGAUGGUACAAAGCAAAUAUGUCCCCAUCCAUGGCCAAAGCAUGCUGUAUUUAAUUUUGCACCCAAAGUUUUAAAUUUUCGCAUUAUUGUUCCUUAAACCUUGUCUUUCUAUAUUGAUCUUCCGUAUUGAUGAGCUAUUUGUUAUCUUUAUCAAAUAAGUUGAACCCAAGAAAGUAACCAAUACACAAGAACACUCACAACAAAAUAUGAUUUGUGUAGAUUUAGUAUCGUGAAACAGCACACUGGAUUUAACAAAUAAAACCACUACUAUAAACUAAUUACAAGAAACGCUCACACCUGUUUCCUUCUUCUAGACCAUGCCCUCAUUCUCUGUUCUAGAUUAUCACCACCUUGCAUAACAUUUGCUACUAGAGACCAAACUCUCCAAUAUUACAAGUGAAUGUAUUCUGUCCAUUGAUUGGUCCGAAAGAUACGACUGAAUAAUUUACCAUGAACAACCACCG